AUUCCAGCCCCAAUAGCGUAUAUUAAAGUUGUUGCAGUUAAAAAGCUCGUAGUUGGAUUUCUGGCGCCCCUAUUGUUCAGCAGUGCUGCAAUUGUAGCUUCUGCGUUCGCUAGUGGGCAGUCAUUCCUUUGUUCUUUCACACACCUAGUGCUGUGAUAGUCUCAGAGGCAUUACCUUGAGGAAAUUAGGGUGUUCCAGGCAGAGCGACGUCUCGAAUAUAUUAGCAUGGAAUAAUACGAUAUGACUUUGCUUGCUUUGGCUGGCUCAGCGAGUGAAGUAAUGAUUAAUAGAAGCUGUCGGGGGCAUUCGUACUUAACUGUUAGAGGUGAAAUUCUUGGAUUUGUUAAAGACGAUCGACUGCGAAGGCAUUUGCCAAGGAAGUUUUCAUCA
This 390-nucleotide ribosomal RNA is filed under the name Eukaryota sp. RNAcentral describes it as "partial small subunit ribosomal RNA". It matches the Rfam family "Eukaryotic small subunit ribosomal RNA", at positions 582 to 975 of the family's 1831-position model. The record is from RNAcentral.